Molecule: long non-coding RNA, 386 nt
Organism: Protopterus annectens (West African lungfish)
Lineage: Eukaryota; Metazoa; Chordata; Ceratodontiformes; Protopteridae
Exons: 2
Source: RefSeq, a predicted model, not a curated record
GUGUGGAUAUGCUCCCUAAGCUGUAGUUGGAGUGCCCAAAUGAAAAACAAUGAAUCCAAGCAGAAAAACAGGUUGUACUUGGUUGUGGCGUACCGUGCAUAUGUGUUGUGGGUGCAUAACAAUCGAAGGCUGGGAUUUGGUAAUCGAAUGGUGCUUCCCGCUUGUGUAGUGUCGUGAAUUCAAGCACAGUUUUCAUGUGCAGAUGAUGAUUCGUACACAGGAUUUCAACCCUUUGAGGGACUAUGGAUUUUUUCAGAAAACUGACAUGUCUAUUAUUGCUAUAGCUGUGCAUUGCUGGUCUCAAUUGACAAAUACUUUUACUUUUCAAAUCCUGUAUACUCUACCUUGUUUUGAAAUUUGUGCACUAAUAAAGUGUGUAAAUGAGU